RNAcentral lists this ribosomal RNA (484 nucleotides) under uncultured bacterium. RNAcentral's name for it is "partial 16S ribosomal RNA". It matches the Rfam family "Bacterial small subunit ribosomal RNA", at positions 28 to 523 of the family's 1533-position model. The record is from RNAcentral.
GACGAACGCUGGCGGCGUGCUUAACACAUGCAAGUCGAACGAUGAAGCUAGAGCUUGCUCUGGUGAAUUAGUGGCGAACGGGUGAGUAACACGUGAGUAACCUGCCCCGAACUCUGGGAUAACUGCUGGAAACGGUAGCUAAUACUGGAUACGACCUACGAAGGCAUCUUCUGUAGGUGGAAAGAAUUUCGGUUCGGGAUGGACUCGCGGCCUAUCAGCUUGUUGGUGGGGUAAUGGCUCACCAAGGCGACGACGGGUAGCCGGCCUGAGGGGGUGACCGGCCGCACUGGGACUGAGACACGGCCCAGACUCCUACGGGAGGCAGCAGUGGGGAAUAUUGCACAAUGGGCGCAAGCCUGAUGCAGCAACGCCGCGUGAGGGAUGACGGCCUUCGGGUUGUAAACCUCUUUUAGUAGGGAAGAAGCGAAAGUGACGGUACCUGCAGAAAAAGCACCGGCUAACUACGUGCCAGCCGCCGCAGUAA